Molecule: transfer RNA, 83 nt
Filed under: Chloroflexota bacterium
Lineage: Bacteria; Bacillati; Chloroflexota
Description: tRNA-Leu
Rfam family: tRNA
About the family: Transfer RNA (tRNA) molecules are approximately 80 nucleotides in length. Their secondary structure includes four short double-helical elements and three loops (D, anti-codon, and T loops).
Source: RNAcentral
GCGGAAGUGGCGGAACGGCAGACGCGAUAGGUUCAGGGCCUAUUGCCCGCAAGGGCGUGGGGGUUCAAGUCCCCCCUUCCGCA